RNAcentral lists this ribosomal RNA (253 nucleotides) under uncultured bacterium. RNAcentral describes it as "partial 16S ribosomal RNA". It matches the Rfam family "Bacterial small subunit ribosomal RNA", at positions 524 to 776 of the family's 1533-position model. The record is from RNAcentral.
GACGUAGGGCGCGAGCGUUGUCCGGAAUCACUGGGCGUAAAGGGCGCGUAGGCGGCUUGAUAAGGUUGCGGUGAAAGCCCGGGGCUCAACCCCGGGUCGGCCGUGGCAACUGUCGAGCUGGAGCACUGUAGAGGCAGGUGGAAUUCCGGGUGUAGCGGUGGAAUGCGUAGAGAUCCGGAAGAACACCGGUGGCGAAGGCGGCCUGCUGGGCAGUGGCUGACGCUGAGGCGCGACAGCGUGGGGAGCAAACAGG